CACUCCUACGGGAGGCAGCAGUGGGGAAUUUUGGACAAUGGGCGAAAGCCUGAUCCAGCAAUGCCGCGUGAGUGAAGAAGGCCUUCGGGUUGUAAAGCUCUUUUGUCAGGGAAGAAACGGUGAGAGCUAAUAUCUUUUGCUAAUGACGGUACCUGAAGAAUAAGCACCGGCUAACUACGUGCCAGCAGCCGCGGUAAUACGUAGGGUGCAAGCGUUAAUCGGAAUUACUGGGCGUAAAGCGUGCGCAGGCGGUUUUGUAAGUCUGAUGUGAAAUCCCCGGGCUCAACCUGGGAAUUGCAUUGGAGACUGCAAGGCUAGAAUCUGGCAGAGGGGGGUAGAAUUCCACGUGUAGCAGUGAAAUGCGUAGAUAUGUGGAGGAACACCGAUGGCGAAGGCAGCCCCCUGGGUCAAGAUUGACGCUCAUGCACGAAAGCGUGGGGAGCAAACAGGAUUAGAUACCCCGGUAGUCCCAUGAU
RNAcentral lists this ribosomal RNA (476 nucleotides) under uncultured organism. RNAcentral's name for it is "partial 16S ribosomal RNA". It matches the Rfam family "Bacterial small subunit ribosomal RNA", at positions 334 to 801 of the family's 1533-position model. The record is from RNAcentral.